Molecule: long non-coding RNA, 272 nt
Filed under: Mytilus galloprovincialis (Mediterranean mussel)
Lineage: Eukaryota; Metazoa; Mollusca; Bivalvia; Mytilida; Mytilidae
Source: RNAcentral
UUUGCACCUCACAAUGCUUAAUUAGGUCUUUCCACUUUUCUGUGGAAAGACCUAUUGUUUUUCUUCUGAUUAUUUUUUUUUUUUUUUUUUUUUUUUUCUUCCGCCUAAUUUUGUUCUUGCGAUAAACAUUUGUUUCGCAAUAUGUCGCUUAGAUAUUUGGUAUAUGAUAUCGAACAGUUUAUGCGCUUUUGAAAUUUACCCUGCGUAAACGAAUACUUUUCUUUGUAGGAGUUAUCUCCCCAAACACUGUUUUCCUUGUUAGCGCAUCUCCU